GGUGAUCGGUUUCCGAAUUUUACGGACUAGGGUCUAGGUAUAAUUUUUAUAAUUUUUAUGUGAAACAAAGAUCAUUAAAUACACACAUGCACCUAAAAACUUGACAAACGUAUUUAAUGAUAAUUAAAAAUGGACGUAAACAUACCAAAUAAUGAAAUAGACAAUACAGUUGUUAGCAAUGAAGUUAAACCUGAAAUGGAUGUUAACAAUCGUAUUUGCCGUUGUUGUUUGUCGACUGAACGGCGUAUGGCUAAAAUCAACAACUUUCGCUAUCUGUUUAUGGAUUUAGCUGAUAUUAUUGUGACAGACUCGGACGGUCUUCCGCAAUGGAUUUGCUGGGAGUGUGCCGCGUUACUCAGAAAGUGUGUACGCUUCAAGCAGAAAGUGUUGAAAGCUCAUACUGUGUUGUACGACUAUCAUGGACGCUGUGUUCCGUUCGCGAUAGACGGCCAAGAUCCAGAGUUGACAAAAUUUUCCACACCCCAUUUAAAAACGACGAAAACACUUUAUUUUGACACCGUUAAAAGUAAGCCGGGAUUCCAUAGUGUUUUACAGCAUGAGAAGAUAACAAACGACUCGCCAUUACUUCAUUUGGAAAUACCUCAGUUAACCAACUGCGAACAAAUGAACGAUGUUUUUGUUAAAAGUGAAGAUUUGAUGAAUGACGGCUAUGAUCUGGUGCCCGUGGACGAUUUUGUAUCGAGUGAAACAGAAGACACGGAUAACAAAGAAUACAAGCAAGAGCGAAAGAGAAAGGUGAAGGGGAAAAUAAAAAUUGAAAACGAUAAGAGUGAUGAUGUUGAUACAAUGGAGCCAGAUGUACAAAUUCCUUCAACGUCCAGUACACUGAUGGAGACUGAUGAUAUCGUGCCACCAACGUCUGCCAUACCUUUCGCUGUGCCACACACAUUCCAUAACGCCAAAGCGCAACGACAAAGUGUGUAUAGAAAACGUAAGGCCGCGGAAAGAACUCCUGCAGAGGCAGCAGAAUUUGCAAAAGCAGCCGCCGAAAGACAACGUAGAUUCAAGCAACGUAGACUCGCCAACUCGGCUCUUACGCUAGAGUCUGCUCCUGUGCUAGUGAAAAGAACAGUUCCUGCUCAGACCAGCGCUCAGCGACAACGUGCUUACAGACAGCGUAGAGCUGCUCAAAUUGUUUCACAAAUAAGUACUCCACCGACUCACACAGCAAUGCAACCGGAACAAUCAACCUGGAAUAUCAAAUGGUCGUUGUCAAUAAAGAGGUUUAAAACUACAUUUCUGGACAACGAAUUUGGCCACGCUUGCUCUGUUUGUGACCGAUUGUGGUUCAAGAAUGACUUUAAAAUCAUCACUGCUGCACAACUACAGGUCAUAUCGGAUUGGUUCGUUAAGGAAAAUAGGCAACUACGCGAGGAGGAUUAUACGCAUAUUUGCAACACCUGUAGAUUUUCGAUGAACAAACAUAAGCUUCCUACCCUUGCAAAAGUGAAUGGCUUCUCAUAUCCAGAAAUACCUCCUGGCUUACCGCCACUGGAUCCAAUUAGUGAACGAUUAAUCUCACCACGUCUGCCAUUCAUGCAAGUGCGUCGUCUGCGGUAUGACUUCUCUUAUGGAAUUAUUGGUCAAGUGAUCAACGUUCCAGUCAACGUAGAAAACAUGGUAAAAUGCUUGCCCCGGCAUUUAGAUGAGGACGACGUCAUUAAUGUCAACAUCAAACGGAAUCUCGUAUACAAAACAAAUUACAUCAGCGGCUACAUGUCCAAAAGGACAAUCAAAGAAUGGUUGGAUGUACUUCAAAAUUCAAGUCUAUAUCGCUUGUACGAUAUCAAAGUAGAUUUGUCAAGGCUGCAAACUGUCGUGCCACCAGAGGAAGAUUUGCAGGAUGACUCGGCUCAUCGAAUCGAAACAAUCGCCGCCGAGUGUACUCCGGAGUCAGAAAUUCUUGCUUCCAGGCAGCAUACACUACUGUGGAACGAAGAGGAUUGCCUCGACAUGGCACGAAGACAUCGGGCCAUGCCUCUGAACAUCAUUUACGACCGUCAUGCUGAAGAACUAUCAUUUCCUGCAAUAUACUACGGCCAGCCUCGUCGCUUCCACAUGGGAGUUUCAGUGACACCUUACAUGAUGGCAACCAGUGAAUUACGACGAAGUGACAGACGCGGAGCCACGCCUCAAAAAGUCUUGUACGUUGCUAUGAAGAUUCUACGUCUCCGCAUGGUGGAUGGCAUUUACAGCACAUUUCGGAAUGUGUCAACCACGGAAAACGUAACUCGACGCAUGUUGGAGGACCCGGAAUUUCUUAAAGAAUUUGUCGUUCAAAAUCUUGCCUUCAUGAAUUCAGUACCCAAUUCCGUCCAGUAUUGGGCCUCUCGCAAACGAGAUCUGUUUGCGAUGCUCGGUCAACUAGGUAAACCGACCAUAUUUUUCACUUUAAGUGCAAACGAAGUACGCUGGUUGAUAUUACUGAACUUACUCCUCAAAUUGAGUAACAAGUAUCCUGGAAAAGUUGCUGAAGAUCUAAACACGUCAGAGCGGUGCAACUUAGUGAGCGACGAUCCAGUUACGUGCUGCAUAUAUUUCCACAAACUCGUCGGUACAUUGAUGAAUAUGCUGAAGGCAAAACAAUCAUAUAAUCCAUUUGGCCAGUACUUUGUUAAAGAUUAUUUCUUUCGCAUUGAGUUCCAGCAUCAAGGAAGCCCCCACGCACACAUUUUGGUGUGGUUGAAUAAUGAUCCACACGAGGCCGUGUCAGAAAAUAUGCCAAUGACCAUCGAGCUCGUGGAGAAGCUGAGUUCUGUCGCCAAAGAAGAUAUGCCCAACGAGACCAUCUACGCCAAUCAAAUUCACAAGCACACUUUGACCUGCACGAAGCGAGGUGAGACGACUUGCAGAUUUGGGAUCCCGUACUGGCCAAUGCCUGCUACUCGAGUCUUGGUUCCAAUGCCUCAGACUGAUGGACGCCGGUCAACAUUCCAAAAAAAAUCCAAGGAGCUACGAACGUGUCUCAGCGAACUAACAUACCCUAGCAUGGAUGACUUUCUGCGGGAACAUGGUCUGACAUUUGAUGCAUAUCUCGAUAUAGUACGUUCAACCCUUCGCAGGCCAACUUUGUUGUUUAAACGUAACUUCGAUCAACUUAUGACAAACACGUUCAACCCUUACCUUGCUGGUCAAAUUAAUUCGAACAUCGAUAUUCAGUUUAUCUUAGAUGAAUACAGCUGUGCACAGUACGUCGUGGAAUACGUGAACAAAUCAGCUCGUGGAAUGGGUAACUUGAAUCGAGAGCUGACUAAAAUGAUGGAAGAACAUCCUGACCGCGAUUACACUGGUCAAUUAAAAGCAUUGAGUGUCAAACUUCUCAAUGCAGUUGAAAUGUCGGCGCAAGAAGCAGCAUGGUAUUUGUUACGACAGCCGAUGAGCGAAGCAAGCCGUCAAAUUGUGUACAUACCAACAGUGUGGCCCUCAGAGAGACAACGUUGCCGCAAACGUCGGAAACAAUUGGAUCGCGAAGGAAUCGCAGAGGACAGCACAGACGUGUGGACCAAAAACAUCAUUCAGCGGUAUGAAGAAAGACCUCCAUCUUUGCAAGAUGUAUAUUUGGCCGAGUUUGCGUCGUGGUAUGCUAACUCUCGUGAUUUUAUUGACAAUGAAGACGACUUGAACGUGCAUGAAGAUGACGAUCCUGAACCGCCGACUGGAGAAAGAACGACAUCGAGAGGAUAUCGCAAACGUCUGAUCGGUCGAAUCAUACGAUACAGAUGCUACGACAUAGAUGAAACUGUCAAUUAUCAACGUGAGAUGGUACUGCUGUACUUGCCCUUUCGCAAUGAAGUCGCUGACAUUGUUGAUUGUAAUAAAUUUAUACAAUUAUUCAAUGACAACAAGGAAACUAUCAUGGAACGAAAAAAACUUUAUGAGAACAAUAUUGACAUCGACAAAGUGAUGCAAGAGCUAGAAGCAAUGGUGAUUUUGCAAAAUUCAGACACCACAGAACCAACGGAAACAGAGUCAAGAAGAGUGUUUGUAGAACAGCUGUUAGGAGGAGAGGGAGCUGAAAAUAACGAUGUUAAUGAAUUAUGAGUACAUAUCAAGGAAGAAUAAUCGAACAAACUCAGACACCAACGCAGCAGGUGGAGUAGCGAUCUAUCGUAGGUUGCGGUCACAGACACUGCUCGAGUUAUCAAAACCUGCGGUGACUUGUGCUUGGCUGAAGUUACUUGCUUUACCGCUGAUACUACCUUCAAAUUUGUGCUCGGUGCUGUUUAUAUUCAUCCAGGAUCAAGUAUUCAAGUGUACAAGACAUCGGA
RNA transcript from Colias croceus (clouded yellow), 4289 nucleotides. It is a transcript of the gene named zinc finger protein 37-like, with no coding region annotated. NCBI's taxonomy places the organism in Eukaryota, Metazoa, Arthropoda, Insecta, Lepidoptera, Pieridae. The transcript has 7 exons. The record is from RefSeq and is a predicted model, not a curated record.